AACGAACGCUGGCGGCAGGCUUAACACAUGCAAGUCGAACGCCCCGCGAGGGGAGUGGCAGACGGGUGAGUAACGCGUGGGAAUCUACCUAGUUCUACGGAACAACAGUUGGAAACGACUGCUAAUACCGUAUACGCCCUACGGGGAAAGAUUUAUCGGAAUUAGAUGAGCCCGCGUAAGAUUAGCUAGUUGGUGAGGUA
This 200-nucleotide ribosomal RNA is filed under the name uncultured bacterium. RNAcentral describes it as "partial 16S ribosomal RNA". It matches the Rfam family "Bacterial small subunit ribosomal RNA", at positions 29 to 259 of the family's 1533-position model. The record is from RNAcentral.